UACGGGGGGAGCAAGCGUUGUUCGGAUUUACUGGGCGUAAAGCGCGCGCAGGCGGUCCUUUAAGUCUGAUGUGAAAGCCCACGGCUCAACCGUGGAGGGUCAUUGGAAACUGGGGGACUUGAGUACAGAAGAGGAAAGCGGAAUUCCACGUGUAGCGGUGAAAUGCGUAGAGAUGUGGAGGAACACCAGUGGCGAAGGCGGCUUUCUGGUCUGUAACUGACGCUGAGGCGCGAAAGCGUGGGGAGCAAACAGG
Molecule: ribosomal RNA, 253 nt
Filed under: uncultured bacterium
Lineage: Bacteria
Description: partial 16S ribosomal RNA
Rfam family: Bacterial small subunit ribosomal RNA
Source: RNAcentral